CAGAAGCGGCGGAGGUUGGCGUGCGCUCCGCUCCCGGAGCUGAGCGGACCUGAUGCGAUCGCCAUUUAGCAACGGCACAGACAGCGACGGCGCCGUGACGUCACGCGGAGGCUUUCACCGACUGUGGGUUUGCGCAGUGUGAGUUAAGAUUCCUGAAAGUGGGUGAGACAAAAGCAUGUGAGAGGCCCACACCACACCAUUGUCCCCUCGCCACAGAGCUGGAAACGUGUUGUCCGGUAUCCCGUUUCGUUUCGCAACAUUUCCUUCUCGAUGACACUCGCCACUCAGGGAGCAAGACCGCACAAGGCUUCAAAUGUUCUCAUUGACAGUGAAAGCGGAAAUCUUAAAUGGGAUUUCCCGUGGUGCGUAUACAUUUGACCGAGUAAUGACUUUGGAACUGUUUUCAUCCAAAAAAUGAGUUAGCAUUUCAUGCCCACACGUCAAAUGUGAAAUGAAAUCUCUUGUCACUACGACUGCCGAGCGCACGGGUGUCAAACCGGUGGUCUGGGGGGCCAGAUCCGGCCCGCCGCAUCAUUUUACGUGGCCCGCGAAAGCAAAACAUGUGCAUCGACUCUGUGUUUCUUGUGAAAAUACCAAAAAUGCAAACUGUCUUCACUUGUAAUAACGUCAUGAUACUACAAGCAUUUUAUGUUACCAGUCCCCCUUUUAAAUGUCAUAAUCGUUGAACAAACAUUUUUUUUAUUGGCUUCCGAUUUCAAAACUAGUUGUCCAUCGUUGUGUAUGUGUAAUUAUAUGAGGUGAUAAUUCAUUUUUUUUUUUUGUUAUGGGUUUGCAGUUACAACGGCCUUUCGAAGGAAGUCAGAACUACAAUGUGGCCCGUGACAAAAAUGAGUUUGACACCCUUGGGCCUACUGGAAGGCAGUAGUGGAAAAAAAAAACUCUAUUUCUACGACAGUCAUUCUACUAGUGCCCUAAAUUGUCUUACUAGUUGAGGUCCAUGUACUAGAGCACGCUUUGUCCUCACUAGUAGGACAAUUUUGACAUGCUGGUAGGACAACUACAUGGGACUAGUGAGGCGAAACUAGUUGACAACUGUGAACUACUCAUGACAUUAUAGAAUUCUACCAGUUAACAUUAAGCACUUUACUCAUAGUACUAGUACUGCGCAGAUGUCAACUAGUGCAGUUUUAGUAGCACAACGAGAUGUUACUCGUAAGGCAAAACUGUGCACUAGUUGACCUCUGUAUGCUACUAGUGACAUGAAAUUCAGUAAUUGACAGCUCACCUAGUGUCACAGUGAGCCCCCCGCUCCCCGAGUGACUGUUGUACCUAGGGGCCUCGACACUAGUAUAGCGAACAAUCGCCGUCUUCCUUUGCAGAGUUUUACACAGGCCUGUGGGAAGAUGGAGCUCGUGAUACGGAGAGAAAUAUGGCAACAAACUGCCAGGGUAAAAUGCUGCAGCCCUCCCCUCUGCCUCACGCACCUUGAGUGCUGACAGUGGAGCGCUACCGUUGCCCCCCUCUUGCCCGUUGCCCACCACCAGCGCCAGCAGCACCGGCCCCCUUCCCUUCCCUUCCCUUCCCUUGGCUGUGUGGAAUGGGGUUUACGUAACCCACUGCAGUCUGAGCUAGCGCAGCGCAGCGCAUCGCUCCUCACAAUGCCUUCCCUUUGCAAGACACAAGCCUUUUGCAACAUAGUAGUAGCUGUCCUACUAGUAUACAGAAAGAUCAUGCAGCGCAGGUGUCAAACUCAGGGCCCCGGGGGCCAGAUCUGGCCCACCGCAUCAUUUCAUGUGGCCCGCGAAACCAAAACAUGAUUAUUGCUAUAAUCUGUACCAAAAUUUCAAAUUGUCAUAUAUAGUUUUUCAUACCAAAACCCCUUUUACAGUAAGUUCAACAAUAGUUGAACAAGCUAUUAUCCUUGACUUCCAAUUUUUAAAACUAGUUAGCCUUCAAUGUGUUCUGUACAUGUAUUCAUAUGAUGAAGAGAAUAAACAUUUACUGUAUGUGGUUUCACAGUCAUAACGGCCCCCUCAGGAAAAGCGUAACUACAAUGUGGCCUGUAAUGAAAAUGAGUUUGGCAACCCUCUCAAACAGUAAUGGAACGCAGUAGUAGGGGGGGAGAAAAACACAAAACAAAAACAUUACUAGUAAGAUACAGUCAUUCCACUGGUGUGCAGUCUUAUUAGUGAGGAUGGGCACUUUUGUGUCACUAGUCGGGUCCAUGAAGCUAUUAAGUGUGUGACACAUGCUUACUAGUUGGGCGUAGUAGUGUUACCCGCGCAGCACAGUAGCUAACUAGCAAGCUUUAAUUGUGUACAAGUAGGCCAAAAGUGGCACGAGUGGUUAAAAAAAAUAAUGUGACGAGUAAGACGCAGUCGUUCUACUAGUGCGCCCCGGUCAUGUUACUAGUGUGCUAAUUGGAACUCAAGGCUAUUAAACAAAAGCUCAAAUGGCUUUCUAUGAGAACAAUUUACCCUUUUUUAUACUACUACUACACUGGCAGCGUUGUUAAAAAUGCUCAACAUUUUUGAAGAAAAUCCAAGAGCCUCCUUUGUAGAUAAAAUCUUGUAACCUUAACUGAGUGAAUAGUACUCAGGGGGUCGCUUACACGCAUCAAAGCUGUGUGUGUGUGUGUGUGUGUGUGCGCGGGCUACAGCCUUUACUGGUUGCCAGACGAUUGCAAGGAUAUGGCCAAACUUAAAGGACACAUACAGUGUUAUGGAAAAUUGCCGUUUUAAUUGCUUUGAUACAAAUUCAGGGAACCCCCCGUGGAUUGUCGACAGUAUACAGGCACGCCAAAACUUUCUAAUUGUGGUACCACAUUGUGCCACAACACGCCAGGUGGCACCGAGGUCCGCUGAAAGAGAUGCCACGUGUACUAAAGAAUGACUGUAACCUCGAUGCUAAUUUCCAUGAGCUGGC
Molecule: long non-coding RNA, 2886 nt
Organism: Phyllopteryx taeniolatus (common seadragon)
Lineage: Eukaryota; Metazoa; Chordata; Actinopteri; Syngnathiformes; Syngnathidae
Exons: 3
Source: RefSeq, a predicted model, not a curated record